AUAUCAGUCCCCGUUUCACCAACUGGUAGAUUUAAAAAAUACCCCUCUUGUAGAUUUUAUUUAGGGUUAGGAAAGUGUUUAAAAACAUAUUUUAAGAGCCUUUAUGCAUGAAAUAAGUGGUUUUAUUCUUUCUAUAAAAUUGCCACAUUCAAUAAUGCAACCCAUGAUAUGCUGAAAGGUUAGUGGAUCAUAAGGAGAAUAGCAGGUUAUAACCCUCGUCUAUAGCCUGCCGAGUAUAGGUUAUAACCUCGUCUAUAGCCUGCCGAGUAUAGGUUAUAACCCUCGUCUAUAGCCUGCCGAGUAUAGGUUAUAACCCUCGUCUAUAGCCUGCCGAGUAUAGGUUAUAACCCUCGUCUAUAGCCUGCCGAGUAUAGGUUAUAACCCUCGUCUAUAGCCUGCCGAGUAUAGGUUAUAACCCUCGUCUAUAGCCUGCCGAGUAUAGGUUAUAACCCUCGUCUAUAGCCUGCCGAGUAUAGGUUAUAACCCUCGUCUAUAGCCUGCCGAGUAUAGGUUAUAACCCUCGUCUAUAGCCUGCCGAGUAUAGGUUAUAACCCUCGUCUAUAGCCUGCCGAGUAUAGGUUAUAACCCUCGUCUAUAGCCUGCCGAGUAUAGGUUAUAACCCUCGUCUAUAGCCUGCCGAGUAUAGGUUAUAACCCUCGUCUAUAGCCUGCCGAGUAUAGGUUAUAACCCUCGUCUAUAGCCUGCCGAGUAUAGGUUAUAACCCUCGUCUAUAGCCUGCCGAGUAUAGGUUAUAACCCUCGUCUAUAGCCUGCCGAGUACAGGUUAUAACCCUCGUCUAUAGCCUGCACGAACCAUGGAACAGUGUGACGACACAGCCGAGUAUGGCGCCAUGAGUCCGGUUCAAUCGUUUAU
Molecule: long non-coding RNA, 873 nt
Organism: Oncorhynchus keta (chum salmon)
Lineage: Eukaryota; Metazoa; Chordata; Actinopteri; Salmoniformes; Salmonidae
Exons: 3
Source: RefSeq, a predicted model, not a curated record